AGCUCUUAUUCGCUGAUGGUACUGCGAGUUCGCGGGAGAGUAAGUUAUUGCCAGGGUUUUUAUUUUAUACUUUAAACAUUGAUUUUAUUUUUUAUGUUUUUAGAUGUUCAUGUUUUUGAAUGUUUUAUUCGAAUAAUAUAAAAAAUAAAAUAUAUAUUGACAUGGAUUAAACAAAGAUAUAUAUUAUUCUAUGUUGUAUAAACAAAUUGGCAAAAUAGAGAUGGAA
This 226-nucleotide unclassified non-coding RNA is filed under the name Borreliella garinii. RNAcentral describes it as "partial 5S-23S intergenic spacer". The record is from RNAcentral. Lineage: Bacteria; Pseudomonadati; Spirochaetota; Spirochaetia; Spirochaetales; Borreliaceae.